UACUAGAUUUUAACCGCGGUAC
RNAcentral lists this non-coding RNA (22 nucleotides) under Arabidopsis thaliana (thale cress). Lineage: Eukaryota; Viridiplantae; Streptophyta; Magnoliopsida; Brassicales; Brassicaceae. The record is from RNAcentral.